AGUUAAAAAGCUCGUAGUUGGAUUUCUGGCAGGAGCGACCGGUCGCGCACUCUGUGCGUGAACUUGGUUGUCUCUGGCCAUCCUUGGGGAGAUCCUGUUUGGCAUUCAGUUGUCGGGCAGGGGAUACCCAUCGUUUACUGUGAAAAAAUUAGAGUGUUUAAAGCAGGCUUAUGCCGUUGAAUAUAUUAGCAUGGAAUAAUAAGAUAGGACUUUGGAACUAUUUUGUUGGUUUGCGUUACAAAGUAAUGAUUAAUAGGGACAGUUGGGGGUAUUCGUAUUCCGUUGUCAGAGGUGAAAUUCUUGGAUUUCCGGAAGACGAACUACUGCGAAAGCAUUUACC
This 340-nucleotide ribosomal RNA is filed under the name Pantocsekiella ocellata. RNAcentral describes it as "SSU rRNA". It matches the Rfam family "Eukaryotic small subunit ribosomal RNA", at positions 617 to 959 of the family's 1831-position model. Lineage: Eukaryota; Bacillariophyta; Thalassiosirophyceae; Thalassiosirales; Thalassiosiraceae. The record is from RNAcentral.